GAAAUGCGAUAAGUAAUGUGAAUUGCAGAAUUCAGUGAAUCAUCGAAUCUUUGAACGCACAUUGCGCCCGCCAGCACUCUGGCGGGCAUGCCUGUUCGAGCGUCAUUUCAACCCUCAGAACCCCUUGCGGGAUCUGGCGUUGGGGAUUGGCAUCCAGCCAGCCCCGAAAUCUAGUGGCGGUCCCUCCGCGACCUCCCCUGUGCAGUAGCGAUACCUCGCAGCGGGACAGCGGUCUGACCACGCCGUAAAACCCCCAACUUCUCAAGGUUGACCUCGAAUCAGGUAGGAAUACCCGCUAAACAUAAGC
RNAcentral lists this unclassified non-coding RNA (307 nucleotides) under plant metagenome. Its description in RNAcentral is "partial contains 5.8S ribosomal RNA, internal transcribed spacer 2, and large subunit ribosomal RNA". The stretch from base 1 to 105 matches the Rfam family "5.8S ribosomal RNA", at positions 50 to 154 of the family's 154-position model. The record is from RNAcentral.